CGCCAUCAGAGAGUUUGAUCCUGGCUCAGAACGAACGCUGGCGGCAGGCCUAACACAUGCAAGUCGAGCGCACCUUCGGGUGAGCGGCGGACGGGGUUAGUAACGCGUGGGAACGUACCCUUUUCUAAGGAAUAGCCACUGGAAACGGUGAGUAAUACCUUAUACGCCCUUCGGGGGAAAGAUUUAUCGGAGAAGGAUCGGCCCGCGCUUAGAUUAGAUAGUUGGUGGGGUAACGGCCUACCAAGUCUACGAUCUAUAGCUGGUUUUAGAGGAUGAUCAGCAACACUGGGACUGAGACACGGCCCAGACUCCUACGGGAGGCAGCAGUGGGGAAUCUUGGACAAUGGGCGCAAGCCUGAUCCAGCCAUGCCGCGUGAGUGAUGAAGGCCUUAGGGUCGUAAAGCUCUUUCGCUGGGGAUGAUAAUGACAGUACCCAGUAAAGAAACCCCGGCUAACUCCGUG
RNAcentral lists this ribosomal RNA (462 nucleotides) under uncultured Roseobacter sp. Its description in RNAcentral is "bacterial SSU rRNA". It matches the Rfam family "Bacterial small subunit ribosomal RNA", at positions 1 to 507 of the family's 1533-position model. Lineage: Bacteria; Pseudomonadati; Pseudomonadota; Alphaproteobacteria; Rhodobacterales; Roseobacteraceae. The record is from RNAcentral.